This 253-nucleotide ribosomal RNA is filed under the name uncultured bacterium. Its description in RNAcentral is "partial 16S ribosomal RNA". It matches the Rfam family "Bacterial small subunit ribosomal RNA", at positions 57 to 305 of the family's 1533-position model. The record is from RNAcentral.
GCAAGUCGAACGGUAACAGAAGAAGCUUGCUUCUUGCUGACGAGUGGCGGUCGUGUGCGUAACGCGUUGGAAUCUACCUUUUAGUGGGGGAUAGCCCGGUGGAAACCGGAUUAAUACCGCAUACUACUCUACGGAGGAAAAGGGGCCUCUCCUUGGAAGCUCUUGCUAUUAGAUGAGCCCGCGUAAGAUUAGAUAGUUGGUGGGGUAAUGGCCUACCAAGUCGACGAUAUUUAGCUGGUUUGAGAGGAUGAUC